Molecule: ribosomal RNA, 620 nt
Filed under: Pomatinus substriatus
Lineage: Eukaryota; Metazoa; Arthropoda; Insecta; Coleoptera; Dryopidae
Description: SSU rRNA
Rfam family: Eukaryotic small subunit ribosomal RNA
Source: RNAcentral
GUUGAUCCUGCCAGUAGUCAUAUGCUUGUCUCAAAGAUUAAGCCAUGCAUGUCUCAGUACAAGCCAAAUUAAGGUGAAACCGCGAAAGGCUCAUUAAAUCAGUUAUGGUUCCUUAGAUCGUACCCACACUUACUUGGAUAACUGUGGUAAUUCUAGAGCUAAUACAUGCAAACAGAGCUCUGACCGGAGACGGAAGGAGCGCUUUUAUUAGAUCAAAACCAAUCGGCGGCGGGCUUGCCCGUUCAACCUGGUGAAUCUGAAUAACUUUGUGCUGAUCGCACGGUCUAGCACCGGCGACGCAUCUUUCAAAUGUCUGCCUUAUCAACUGUCGAUGGUAGGUUCUGCGCCUACCAUGGUUGUAACGGGUAACGGGGAAUCAGGGUUCGAUUCCGGAGAGGGAGCCUGAGAAACGGCUACCACAUCCAAGGAAGGCAGCAGGCGCGCAAAUUACCCACUCCCGGCACGGGGAGGUAGUGACGAAAAAUAACGAUACGGGACUCAUCCGAGGCCCCGUAAUCGGAAUGAGUACACUCUAAAUCCUUUAACGAGGAUCAAUUGGAGGGCAAGUCUGGUGCCAGCAGCCGCGGUAAUUCCAGCUCCAAUAGCGUAUAUUAAAGUUG